RNAcentral lists this non-coding RNA (25 nucleotides) under Mus musculus (house mouse). Lineage: Eukaryota; Metazoa; Chordata; Mammalia; Rodentia; Muridae. The record is from RNAcentral.
CUCAGUACCACACCGCAAGCAGGCG